CCCGAAACGAGUCUGUGAUAGUUGUGGCGCGCUAGUUGUUGACAAGACGCAACGACAGAAUAAUAUGAAGGAUGGCUGAUGAUAUGAAUUUGUCAGAUAAAUUAACCAAUGAAGAAAAUAAACCAGAUAGCCUCAAGAUAGAAAAGAAAGAAAUUUCUAAUGAUACAGAAAAAGAACAAUUAGAGAAAAAGCAUUUAUGUGAAGAAGAUUCAAGUCAAACUGAAAAAGACUUAAAAUCCCCAAAGGAUCCUGUUGCUGUUCUCCAUUUAUCUUGUGAAUCAGAAACUGAUGAUGGGUAAUACCAGAUUCAAUGAAACAAUAAAUUAUUAAUUUUAAUAAUGAAGUUCAAU
Molecule: long non-coding RNA, 350 nt
Filed under: Androctonus crassicauda
Lineage: Eukaryota; Metazoa; Arthropoda; Arachnida; Scorpiones; Buthidae
Source: RNAcentral